GGGGAUAUAGCUCAGUUGAUAGAGUGCUUGCCUAGCAUGCACAAGGUCCUGGGAUCAAUUCCCAGCACCACCA
RNAcentral lists this transfer RNA (73 nucleotides) under Marmota marmota marmota (Alpine marmot). It matches the Rfam family "tRNA". From Rfam's summary of the family: Transfer RNA (tRNA) molecules are approximately 80 nucleotides in length. Their secondary structure includes four short double-helical elements and three loops (D, anti-codon, and T loops). Further hydrogen bonds mediate the characteristic L-shaped molecular structure. tRNAs have two regions of fundamental functional importance: the anti-codon, which is responsible for specific mRNA codon recognition, and the 3' end, to which the tRNAs corresponding amino acid is attached (by aminoacyl-tRNA synthetases). tRNAs cope with the degeneracy of the genetic code in two manners: having more than one tRNA (with a specific anti-codon) for a particular amino acid; and 'wobble' base-pairing, i.e. permitting non-standard base-pairing at the 3rd anti-codon position. The record is from Rfam by way of RNAcentral. RNAcentral also lists the same sequence under 2 other names. Lineage: Eukaryota; Metazoa; Chordata; Mammalia; Rodentia; Sciuridae.